Cucurbita pepo subsp. pepo (vegetable marrow) is the source of this 683-nucleotide long non-coding RNA. RefSeq lists it as uncharacterized. Lineage: Eukaryota; Viridiplantae; Streptophyta; Magnoliopsida; Cucurbitales; Cucurbitaceae. The record is from RefSeq and is a predicted model, not a curated record.
CGAAUCAACAAAUGCUUGUUCAAAAAGUUCAGAUAUUUUAUCAAAUCAAAGCCUGAAAGUUCAAAUCUUUUUCCUCCAUUCUCAUCGCCAUUGUUGCACCAAACCUCAAGCUUUCUUCAUACAGUCCAAAUGAAGCUCUCUUCAAUGGCGGUUCUUCUUCUUUUCCUCAUCGUCUCCCAAGCUCAAGGGAUUAGGUUGUUGGAGAAAGGGAUGAGCAAAGAGUAUAAGAAAAGUGGUGGAGAUUUGUUGAUGAAGAUGAAGAAAGCCCCAAGCAAGGCCUCAAGAAAACCACAUUCUCAAUGGCUACCAGGCAUGCAAGAGGAUUAUCAUGGACCAAGAAGCCAUAAAUUGAGACACCAUUAGUCCUUUCCCACCACCUUUCUUCUUAGGGUUCGAGAGGGCGACUCGAGCUGUAAAUAGAAACCGAGCAUUGUUAAUUCUGUUGUCAUCAAAGAAGGUAGGAACACUAACUAGUUUAAGAGACCUUAUUUGAGGAGCUGACGGUUUUAUAAGAUUAAGAAGGAUCGUAACAGCCACGUUGCGUAGCUUUAUUAGAUUCAGCUUUAACUCGUCUCAUCAGUUGAAUUAGGGAUCGGUGUAGAUUAGUUUGAACGGGUUGGAAAAUUGAGGAGAAAUUCUUUUUUUUUCUUUUUUUUAAUGAAACAAGAUUUUUGAAAUGUUAA